UGCGGGCCAAUGUUUACCUGUG
RNAcentral lists this microRNA (22 nucleotides) under Petromyzon marinus (sea lamprey). RNAcentral's name for it is "pma-miR-4631". Lineage: Eukaryota; Metazoa; Chordata; Hyperoartia; Petromyzontiformes; Petromyzontidae. The record is from miRBase by way of RNAcentral.